CCAAGCAUGUCCGCCAGCAAUGGUGCCGACAUACAACCCUUUGUGAAACGUCUCUCUGUGCUUCGGUGGCUCCCCUCCUUCGCGAGGACGGUAAGUCCACCGGCCGUAACCAGAAUGAAAUUUAUUGUCUUCUACAAAUUAACAAACGUUA
Molecule: unclassified non-coding RNA, 151 nt
Filed under: uncultured fungus
Lineage: Eukaryota; Fungi
Description: sequence contains ITS1, 5.8S rRNA gene
Source: RNAcentral